ACGAUACGUAGCCGACCUGAGAGGGUGAUCGGCCACACUGGAACUGAGACACGGUCCAGACUCCUACGGGAGGCAGCAGUAGGGAAUCUUCCGCAAUGGGCGAAAGCCUGACGGAGCAACGCCGCGUGAGUGAUGAAGGUCUUCGGAUCGUAAAGCUCUGUUGUUAGGGAAGAACAAAUGUGUAAGUAACUGUGCACAUCUUGACGGUACCUAACCAGAAAGCCACGGCUAACUACGUGCCAGCAGCCGCGGUAAUACGUAGGUGGCAAGCGUUAUCCGGAAUUAUUGGGCGUAAAGCGCGCGUAGGCGGUUUUUUAAGUCUGAUGUGAAAGCCCACGGCUCAACCGUGGAGGGUCAUUGGAAACUGGAAAACUUGAGUGCAGAAGAGGAAAGUGGAAUUCCAUGUGUAGCGGUGAAAUGCGCAGAGAUAUGGAGGAACACCAGUGGCGAAGGCGGCUUUCUGGUCUGCAACUGACGCUGAUGUGCGAAAGCGUGGGGAUCAAACAGGAUUAGAUACCCUGGUAGUCCACGCCGUAAACGAUGAGUGCUAAGUGUUAGGGGGUUUCCGCCCCUUAGUGCUGCAGCUAACGCAUUAAGCACUCCGCCUGGGGAGUACGGUCGCAAGACUGAAACUCAAAGGAAUUGACGGGGACCCGCACAAGCGGUGGAGCAUGUGGUUUAAUUCGAAGCAACGCGAAGAACCUUACCAAAUCUUGACAUCCUUUGACCGCUCUAGAGAUAGAGUUUUCCUCUUCGGAGGACAAAGUGACAGGUGGUGCAUGGUUGUCGUCAGCUCGUGUCGUGAGAUGUUGGGUUAAGUCCCGCAACGAGCGCAACCCUUGAACUUAGUUGCCAUCAUUCAGUUGGGCACUCUAAGUUGACUGCCGGUGACAAACCGGAGGAAGGUGGGGAUGACGUCAAAUCAUCAUGCCCCUUAUGAUUUGGGCUACACACGUGCUACAAUGGACAAUACAAAGGGCAGCGAAACCGCGAGGUCAAGCAAAUCCCAUAAAGUUGUUCUCAGUUCGGAUUGUAGUCUGCAACUCGACUACAUGAAGCUGGAAUCGCUAGUAAUCGUAGAUCAGCAUGCUACGGUGAAUACGUUCCCGGGUCUUGUACACACCGCCCGUCACACCACGAGAGUUUGUAACACCCGAAGCCGGUGGAGUAACCAUUUUGGAGCUAGCCGUCGAAGGUGGGACAAAUGAUUGGGGUGAAGUCGUAACAAGGUAGCCGUAUCGGAAGGUGCGGCUGGAUCACCUCCUUUCUA
RNAcentral lists this ribosomal RNA (1270 nucleotides) under Staphylococcus pseudintermedius. Its description in RNAcentral is "bacterial SSU rRNA". It matches the Rfam family "Bacterial small subunit ribosomal RNA", at positions 276 to 1533 of the family's 1533-position model. The record is from RNAcentral. Lineage: Bacteria; Bacillati; Bacillota; Bacilli; Caryophanales; Staphylococcaceae.